RNAcentral lists this long non-coding RNA (1346 nucleotides) under Arabidopsis thaliana (thale cress). RNAcentral's name for it is "long non-coding RNA (ATHA_LNC000136)". The record is from RNAcentral. Lineage: Eukaryota; Viridiplantae; Streptophyta; Magnoliopsida; Brassicales; Brassicaceae.
GUUUUUGGAGAAGGUGAGUAUGAUGGUGGUGGUGGAGAACUGUAGACAUAUGGUGGUGGAGGAGAUUUGUAGUCAACCUUAGGGGAAGGUGAGUAGUAUGGUGGUGGAGGAGAUUUGUAGUCAACCUUAGGGGAAGGUGAGUAGUAUGGUGGUGGUGGUGAACUAUAGACGUAUGGUGGUGGUGGAGAUUUGUAAUCUACCUUAGGGGCAGGUGAGUAGUAUGGUGGUGGGGGUGAGCUGUAGACAUACGGUGGUGGGGGAGAUUUGUAGUCUACCUUCGGGGAAGGUGAGUAGUAUGGUGGUGGUGGUGAGCUAUAGACGUACGGUGGUGGAGGAGAUUUGUAGUCUACUUUAGGGGAAGGUGAGUAGUAUGGUGGUGGUGGUGAGCUGUAGACGUACGGUGGUGGGGGAGAUUUGUAGUCUACCUUAGGGGAAGGUGAGUAGUAUGGUGGUGGUGGUGAGCUGUAGACGUACGGUGGUGGGGGAGACUUGUAAACUACUUUAGGAGAAGGAGAGUAGUAUGGUGGUGGUGGUGAGCUGUAGACGUACGGUGGUGGGGGAGACUUGUAGACUACCUUAGGAGAAGGAGAGUAGUAUGGUGGUGGUGGAGAACUGUAGACAUACGGUGGUGGAGGAGACUUGUAGACUACCUUAGGAGAAGGAGAAUAAUAUGGUGGUGGUGGAGAACUGUAAACGUAUGGUGGUGGGGGAGACUUGUAGACUACCUUAGGAGAAGGAGAGUAGUAUGGUGGUGGUGGAGAACUGUAGACAUACGGUGGUGGGGGAGACUUGUAGACUACCUUAGGAGAAGGAGAAUAGUAUGGAGGUGGUGGAGAACUGUAAACAUACGGUGGUGGGGGAGACUUGUAGACUACCUUAGGAGAAGGAGAGUAGUAUGGUGGUGGUGGAGAACUAUAGACAUACGGUGGUGGGGGAGACUUGUAGUGUACCUUAGGGGAAGGAGAGUAAUAUGGUGGUGGUGGAGAACUGUAGACAUACGGUGGUGGGGGAGACUUGUAGUGUACCUUAGGAGAAGGAGAGUGAUAUGGUGGUGGUGGAGAACUGUAAACGUACGGUGGUGGGGAGGACUUGUACACAACCUUUGGAGAUGGAGAAUAACAUGGAGGAGGUGGUGGACAGACACAUACAUGAGGGUGUGGUGGAGAUUUGUAUAGAACCUUAGGGGAUGGUGCGUGGUAUGGUGAUGGAGGAGACUUGUAGUAUACUUUAGGAGAAGGGGAGUAGUAUGGUGGUGGUGGAGAACUGUAAACGUAUGGUGGUGGGGGAGACUUGUAGACUACCUUAGGAGAAGGAGAGUAGUAUGGUGGUGGUGGAGAACUGUAGAC